This 396-nucleotide ribosomal RNA is filed under the name uncultured bacterium. Its description in RNAcentral is "partial 16S ribosomal RNA". It matches the Rfam family "Bacterial small subunit ribosomal RNA", at positions 523 to 918 of the family's 1533-position model. The record is from RNAcentral.
AUACGUAGGGAGCGAGCGUUGUCCGGAAUUACUGGGUGUAAAGGGAGCGUAGGCGGGAGUGCAAGUCAGAUGUGAAAUACAUGGGCUCAACCCAUGGGCUGCAUUUGAAACUGCAUUUCUUGAGUGAAGUAGAGGCAAGCGGAAUUCCUGGUGUAGCGGUGAAAUGCGUAGAUAUCAGGAGGAACACCGGUGGCGAAGGCGGCUUACUGGGCUUUUACUGACGCUGAGGCUCGAAAGCGUGGGGAGCAAACAGGAUUAGAUACCCUGGUAGUCCACGCUGUAAACGAUGAUUACUAGGUGUGGGGGGACUGACCCCUUCCGUGCCGCAGUUAACACAAUAAGUAAUCCACCUGGGGAGUACGGCCGCAAGGUUGAAACUCAAAUGAAUUGGCGGGG